This 24-nucleotide non-coding RNA is filed under the name Arabidopsis thaliana (thale cress). Lineage: Eukaryota; Viridiplantae; Streptophyta; Magnoliopsida; Brassicales; Brassicaceae. The record is from RNAcentral.
UGCUACUUCUUGGUUGUCGGCACC